This 489-nucleotide ribosomal RNA is filed under the name uncultured bacterium. RNAcentral's name for it is "partial 16S ribosomal RNA". It matches the Rfam family "Bacterial small subunit ribosomal RNA", at positions 30 to 507 of the family's 1533-position model. The record is from RNAcentral.
UUGAACGCUGGCGGCAGGCCUAACACAUGCAAGUCGAACGGUAACAGGAAACAGCUUGCUGUUUCGCUGACGAGUGGCGGACGGGUGAGUAAUGUCUGGUAAACUGCCUGAUGGAGGGGGAUAACUACUGGAAACGGUAGCUAAUACCGCAUAACGUCGCAAGACCAAAGAGGGGGACCUUCGGGCCUCUUGCCAUCGGAUGUGCCCAGAUGGGAUUAGCUAGUAGGUGGGGUAACGGCUCACCUAGGCGACGAUCCCUAGCUGGUCUGAGAGGAUGACCAGCCACACUGGAACUGAGACACGGUCCAGACUCCUACGGGAGGCAGCAGUGGGGAAUAUUGCACAAUGGGCGCAAGCCUGAUGCAGCCAUGCCGCGUGUAUGAAGAAGGCCUUCGGGUUGUAAAGUACUUUCAGCGGGGAGGAAGGGAGUAAAGUUAAUACCUUUACUCAUUGACGUUACCCGCAGAAGAAGCACCGGCUAACUCCGUG